RNAcentral lists this ribosomal RNA (524 nucleotides) under uncultured bacterium. RNAcentral describes it as "partial 16S ribosomal RNA". It matches the Rfam family "Bacterial small subunit ribosomal RNA", at positions 28 to 523 of the family's 1533-position model. The record is from RNAcentral.
GACGAACGCUGGCGGCGUGCCUAAUACAUGCAAGUCGAGCGCAGGAAGCUGACGGAACUCUUCGGAGAGAAGGCAGUGGAAUGAGCGGCGGACGGGUGAGUAACACGUAAGGAACCUGCCUCAAGGAUUGGGAUAACUCCGAGAAAUCGGAGCUAAUACCGGAUAGUUCAACGGACCGCAUGGUCCGCUGAUGAAAGGAGCUUCGGCGUCACCUUGAGAUGGCCUUGCGGUGCAUUAGCUAGUUGGUGGGGUAACGGCCCACCAAGGGGACGAUGCGUAGCCGACCGGUAGGGGGGAUCGGCCACACUGGGACUAGGACACGGACCAGACUCCUACGGGAGGCAGCAGUAGGGAAUCUUCCACAAUGGACGAAAGUCUGAUGGAGCAACGCCGCGUGAGUGAUGAAGGUUUUCGGAUCGUAAAACUCUGUUGUAAGGGAAGAACACGUACGAGAGGGAAUGCUCGUACCUUGACGGUACCUUACGAGAAAGCCACGGCUAACUACGUGCCAGCCGCCGCGGUAA